RNAcentral lists this unclassified non-coding RNA (257 nucleotides) under Rhagoletis pomonella (apple maggot). RNAcentral describes it as "uncharacterized LOC118748413, transcript variant X1". The record is from RNAcentral. Lineage: Eukaryota; Metazoa; Arthropoda; Insecta; Diptera; Tephritidae.
UUCGCUUGAAGCGAUCAGUUUUGAUUUGAGCGUGGCUGCGGAAAGAACAUCUUACCGGAUCGACAGUUUAUAUAUAUGUUAAAUAAAAGCCUCGAGAAUUCGCGCAAAGUGCUUACGAAUAGAAUUUAUCUAAAACGAUAUAUAUAUGUUUGUAUAUAGUGGCUCAAUUGAAAGUGAAGAAAACAAUUAACGCACUACUGGUAACCGCCGAAAAAUUCAAGAUUCCGAAUUAAAUCCGCUCCCUACAUCCACAGCCU